This 419-nucleotide long non-coding RNA is filed under the name Phasianus colchicus (ring-necked pheasant). RNAcentral describes it as "lncRNA (ENSPCLG00000009710.1)". The record is from RNAcentral. Lineage: Eukaryota; Metazoa; Chordata; Aves; Galliformes; Phasianidae.
CUCACAUUCUGCUGAACAGGGGAAGCAGCCAGGAGGGGUGCUGGAGGCCAAGAUUUGCAAAACUGGCUGAUGUUAAGGCGCUGUGUGGAACGCAGCUGAGGACAGCUGGGGGGGACACACCAGCAUCCUCAGGGGGUGCCUGGGGUCCAGCCUGGAUGUGGCAGCCACCGGCACCAUGGGCUCGGUGCAGCGCUCUGAGAAGGGCAGAGCAGACCACAGCAAGCACAGCAGUAUAACCAUCAAAUAUGGCAAGCAUCAGGAACAGACUGAAGCAUGGAGAAUGGCAGGCAGAGGCAUUCCUGUUCAUGAAAAAAUCCUUUCUGACCAAGAAAAGCACUGUGCUUCAUGACUCUGGAAAUCAACUGAAAUCUCACCUGCAGCAAAUAAUAACACAGAACAGGCAAGGAGGAGAAGGCCAU